This 261-nucleotide long non-coding RNA is filed under the name Phoenix dactylifera (date palm). RNAcentral's name for it is "long non-coding RNA (PDAC_LNC007647)". The record is from RNAcentral. Lineage: Eukaryota; Viridiplantae; Streptophyta; Magnoliopsida; Arecales; Arecaceae.
AAGUGAAUAAUGGCAUCAUAAUGUACAAAGUUCAUAAUCAUGUUGAAAACUUUAAUUUUCGUGCAACUUCUAUAUCAUCAUAAAUUUAUGUACAUAGCAUGAUAAUCAUGAUGAAUGUCAUCUAUUUAAAAUCAUGCAACAUUUGCUAACACAUGCUUGAUCCUAAUUUGCAAAAACAUAAAUAAUCACAUACAAUUUCAUAAUCAAAUAGUCACAUGUAUUUGAUAAAAACAUAAGAUUAUAUCAGGGUCACUUACCUUA